AUUGGUAUAAGAAAUUUUCACUUUUUACAUAUAAUACUCUAUGUUAAAAAUUGGCUUACACUGUCAAAUAAGAAUGAAAACUAGUAAGUACGCUUCCUAUGAAACAAAGUACUAAAGCUAUUUUUGUACACAUUUACUAAUUUCAUUCCUCUCUUGGAAUCCAUCGGCUCCACCAUAAGCUUUUCCGUUUAUUGCUAAGAUCAUCCAUACUCUCAUUCAGGGUUUUUAUAAUUUUCCUUUGAAGUCGAAGAGCUGAUGCAAGAGCAUUCCUCUGCGCAUUUGACUUCUUCUUAGGCUCUAUUUCCCUAAGCUGCUGAAGUUGUGCUUCCGUGAAGCCCCCAUCUUGUUCUGUUCCUGAUUUUGCCAUUAGUUGAACAACCCAGUUUGCAGCUUCACUAUAGUCUUGUUGUGUUGCCCGCAAGAAUUGCAGCUUUAGGUUCUGAAUGAAGGACAGGGCUAGAAGACCUUCUCUAUCAAAGUAUGGAUGUGCUAAAGCUGUCUUUGCACUAAUUCUUUGGCGUGCUUUGAAACGUACCAUAGAUGUUAAUAGCUCCCACCCUAUUCCACCAUCCAAAUCUAACAACUCGAAGCCUUUCCUAAGUUCAGGGCCAGCACGAGGCUCUACACUCUGUCUCCACGAAACUAAAUCAUAGUCGCAUCUCUUCAGUUGUCGGUUGAAUUGAAUGAGACUGUUGUCACUGCGUAAUCCUGGGAAUGCCAUUUGCAGGAAUAUGAGACCGACACUGUAGAUGUCAAAUCGAUCUGGGAGAUUCAGCUGCCAGAGUACUGGGGACAGUGCAGUUGCAACUGGAGCAGACGGUGCGGAAGGGGUUUGUGUGCUCAUAAUGUAUUGCUCUGGU
RNAcentral lists this unclassified non-coding RNA (860 nucleotides) under Hevea brasiliensis (rubber tree). The record is from RNAcentral. Lineage: Eukaryota; Viridiplantae; Streptophyta; Magnoliopsida; Malpighiales; Euphorbiaceae.